Molecule: long non-coding RNA, 4186 nt
Filed under: Olea europaea subsp. europaea
Lineage: Eukaryota; Viridiplantae; Streptophyta; Magnoliopsida; Lamiales; Oleaceae
Source: RNAcentral
GUCGACCAUCAUAACCAGUAGCUUGUUUAGAGUGAGUGGAUAAAACUUAUUUUUCAGAAAUAAGUCUUCUUUAAAUUUUAAAGUUAUUUAUUUUAUAAAGUUGACUUCAUAGCAUUAUUUUCAGAAUAAAAUGGAUUUUAUUAUCAAUUGCUUUUAUAGUUAAAUUCAGUUCAGUUAAAUUAUUUUGAAAGCUUGUUAUAUUCUUAUUACAUGUUUCAGUACAGUUAAAGUUAUUUCUAAAAACCACCAGAAAGUACCCAGGUGAUUUUACCCCAGUUUGCACUGAUGUGAAUGUGUUUCCACAGUGUAUGAUUAGUUAUAGUGAUUUUACCCGCUCUGCACUAUCGUGAAUGUGUUUCCAUAGUGUAUGACCAGAAUAUCAGAGGUCUUUGGGACCCACUCUCGUACACACAUAGGCUUUGGGCCGUGUACUAAGGUGAUUAGCCUUUGGGGCAGCUCUGCGUACGUAUGACCAGAUUAUCAGCUAUCAGAUUAUCAGAUUUGAAUGUCUUUGCCUUGUACAUCGAGAUUACUCUAUGCAUGUGUAAGGCUAUUAAUUGGGUACUCUUUAUGGUGUGAUUUUUCAGAACUUAUUCAGUUCUUAGAUUUCAGAUUAUGGAAUUCAGUUUUCAGAAUAAAGCGUUCAGCUUCUAGUAUAGAGCAGCAGCAAUAUUUCAUAGAUUUUCAUGAAUAUCAGAUUCUUUAUAAUUGUUAUACCUUACAUAUACUUAUCUAGAAUUUAGAACAAAGAAUUUUAUGAUGAAAUUAUGUUUAGUUUUAAAAGUGUUACCAGAUUUUAGAAUUUUUCAAAGUUUUGAUAGAGCAAGAAUUUUCAAAAUAUAUGCAUAAAAGAAAAAUAUGUUUAUUUGUAAAUUAUCCACUCACUGAGCUUUAAGCUCAUAUAUUUUUUCACAUUUUUUCUUUAUCAGACAGAAAACAGACAAAUUGAGCAGUUUUGGAGCAUGUCGAACCACCGAAUUGAGCCAUGCGUCAUAGGUUGUAUGACAUCUUUUAUCGGAUUAUACAUUGUGUUCUUUUGGGAUACACAUAGGUUAAAUCAGAAAAGUUCAUUAUGGGCUCAUUAGAUAUUUGGUAUCUUUAGUACUUUUGAAGAUUAUUGGUUGUAAAGCAAGUAAAUAUUGAUUUCCUAGCAUUAUAUUUGAAUAGUUUGUAUUUUUGAGGGUCUGGUAUACCCUGAUUUAUAUUAUAGGUAUUGAUUUGAGAAAAAUUGGUUAUUGUUCAGGUAGUUUUAGUUUGUAUUUUAGAGGAAAUUUUGUCAAAAUUCUGUUAAAAAUAUUUUUCAGUCAAACAAGUCAAAGUUGCCUUGGUGGUGGGUCCGACGUUUAACUGGCAUCUACCACCGGCACACGACACGUGUCGAGUCAAUUAGGUUGAGUCGGGACGGAUCGUACACCCAUCAAGAUUACGCCGUCGACUUGGUUUUCAUCUCCAGCAAAUUUCGCUUGAUUGAACUAUGAAUAAGCCCAAGGUUUUCAGCUAUAUAACUAUUACUCUUGCAUAAACCCUAACCUCCUACCCAUUUUGCCGUCGUAGUUGUGACUCUCUCCGGCCGGCGUCGUUCAGCGGUUCCAUUGGGAGGCCAACAUCUUCAGACCUUAUCUCUAACCCAUUUUGCGAGUAAAGUUUAUUAUUUGUUUCAUAUCCUCUGCACAUUUCUUGGGAAGGUAUUUUUUUUAGGUUUUUAUAUAAUCUUCAUGUUCUUGAAAACCUGUUAAUCUGCAGCUUAUGGCAUGGUAUGCGAUGGAUUUUUUUGUUCCGAUUUAACUUUCAUUAUUGAAUUUUUCAUUAUUUUGAUAUGUACAGAAAAAUAGAGGCAUUUAUAACUUGUUGAAAUUGGUCUUAUCGAGUUUAGAUGGUAAAUUACUUUCAUAAUCUAUUUGUUUAGAAGUAUUAAAUCACUAUAUUUGGCUAGAGAAAGUGAAAUGAGAGCACAUUUAAAUUGUGAUUCAUAUGGUCUGUUUUUCUGGUGAUGAUAGUAUCCCAUUUCAAUUUUGAUGAUUUUCGGUUAUACCUGUAAGUGCAAGUAGAAGUCGUUGCUGGAAUGUUCUUUGAAUUUUGAUGAUUUUGAUGGAAUUGGUCCUAUCGAAUUUAGAAGUCAUUGCUGGAAUGUUCUUUGAAUGAUUUUCUGGUGAUGGAAUGUUCGUUGCUGGAAUGAUUUUCAUAUCAAUUUUGAUUAUUUUGAUGGUCUGUUGCUGGAAUGUUCUUUGAAUUCUACGUUGGAUGGUAGAAUUUAUUUGUUGGAUUCCUAUGGUGGUAUAGAAUGUUGCUUAAGUUUUUAUCGAGUUGUUUUUUCGGGAUCUCUAUUUCAUUUUAGUUUGUAAUGAAAUCCUCUAAAUAUAGUUUGCCGCAUAGGGAUGAGAGGAAGGAAUUAUGGUGUUUGUCACAGUUGUAGAAGCACAAAUUGCCAAGCAUGUUCGAACAUCUAGCUCAAAACGCCAAGAAAUGAAACUUCGAGAUUUCGUUGAACGUGACAUUCUGCAAAGGAAAAGAGCCCUCGAAUGAUAAUGGAGGUUGCAUUAUUUAUUUAUUUUUUGAUCGGUAAAUGUAAAUAUAUAGAUAAAAAAUGUACCAUGUACAAAUACACCGGGCAUACCCGGGCGAGACAAUGUCCAUAAUCAAAUACAAGUACACCGGGCAUAUCCGGGCGAAUCAAAAUCAAUGAUAAGUACAAGUACACCGGGCAUUCCCGGGCAAAUCAAAAUCCAAAAUCAAAACAACUACUCCGGGCAUAUCCGGGAGACACAAAGAAGGCAAAAUACAUAAGAGAUCAAUGAUCCACGGCCAAGGAUUCAAAAAGAAUCAAGACAUUCGGAUAUAAAGUAAACAUGACUUUGUAUACGUGUGUCUUGAUCCUUCUAACAAUAGAAUCCAAGUCGGCCGGGAGGUUUUCAAAAAUCUUCCUAUUCCUCGUAAGCCAUAUGUAGUAAACUGUGCUAGCAUAUGGUAUCAUGAGUAAAAUGCAAUAACUCUAGCAAGCACUGUCAGCAAUAACUCGGCAUUAAGAUGGAUUAGAAUACAAAUAUGGAACUCAAUUUUUAAGCAAGAAUAGAAAUGUCGAUUUUUAUCUACAGGAAAGGACAUUAACAUGAAAAGUUGAAAACUUGGUUACUUAUAAAAUCUGUGCAAGGAAUUUUUAUGAUCUGCCUAAAUUAUUCUAUGCAUCUUUCGGUGACACCUUAGCAGUCUAUCUCACAUUUUUCUAUCCAAUUACUCACAUAUGAAAUGCAUAUCGUGUAGAGCUCUUAAUUGCACAGCUCUUUCAAAUCCCCGACAUUUUCUUCAAGAAAGGAUUAAAGCAUUUAGAACCCAAUAAGAAUGGUGGGGGGGGGGCUAGUCAACAAGCAAUAACAUUACUUGACAUCCAACAAUAACUACACAUUACUUGCCAUCAACAAUAACUCAGCAUUACUUACCAUCAACAACAACUCACUAGUCACAAAAAGGAAUCUGUAAAAGAUUGGCAUGAAGUAUUUCACAAACAUUACUUACCAUCAACAAUAACUAGAUAUUAGAACAAUAAUUACCGUCAGCUAAAAAUGCUAAACUAGCCAAAUAUCAGCCCUUGACAAAGAAAUCAGGUCUUCUACGCGAACUAAAAAAUUAAAAACAGAAUACAUAACCAGCCAACACUUUUUCCUUCCUUUUUUUCGAGAAUCGGUGAGGGGGUGUCCCUUUUGUAGGAUGUAGGUGAAAUACAGAUUUGGCUAUUGCCGGAGUUGGGCAUCACCAUUUUCAUGGUCGAGGAGUGUGGGCUUCGAUUUCGGGGAAUGUCGAGCAGUGAGGGCUUCUAUUUCACCUUCACUGGAUUUCGGGAUUUCGUCUUCACCGGCGCUUAAUUUCACGAGUAGCUCCGGUGAGGUAGGCGGGCCGGCGAGGGUGGGGGAAUAUACUUUGACGGGACUUCUCUGGCUUCUCCACGUGAUGUGCUUUCCGCUUUCCCUUAUGUUUCGGAUUGGAUAUGUUUCGGAUUGGACGAUCAUUUCAAAGUCAAAGAAAUCUGCUCCCAAUUCGUCACCUGAGGAGCACGUUUUUCCUAAAAUUCAAACUUCUGCAAAUUUUCUGUCAGGCCAUUAUGUACAAGAGGCUGUAGUGAUAUUCUUAUGGUGAAAAAGACAAUAAAGAUAAACGUAAAGCAUAUAAAGUUUUUCCUUGAACCGUGAGAAAG